AACGCUAGCUACAGGCUUAACACAUGCAAGUCGAGGGGCAGCAUUUCAGUUUGCUUGCAAACUGGAGAUGGCGACCGGCGCACGGGUGAGUAACACGUAUCCAACCUGCCGAUAACUCGGGGAUAGCCUUUCGAAAGAAAGAUUAAUACCCGAUGGUAUAAUCAGACCGCAUGGUCUUGUUAUUAAAGAAUUUCGGUUAUCGAUGGGGAUGCGUUCCAUUAGGCAGUUGGUGAGGUAACGGCUCACCAAACCUUCGAUGGAUAGGGGUUCUGAGAGGAAGGUCCCCCACAUUGGAACUGAGACACGGUCCAAACUCCUACGGGAGGCAGCAGUGAGGAAUAUUGGUCAAUGGGCGCAGGCCUGAACCAGCCAAGUAGCGUGAAGGAUGACUGCCCUAUGGGUUGUAAACUUCUUUUAUAUGGGAAUAAAGUUUUCCACGUGUGGAAUUUUGUAUGUACCAUAUGAAUAAGGAUCGGCUAACUCCGUGCCAGCAGCCGCGGUAAUACGGAGGAUCCGAGCGUUAUCCGGAUUUAUUGGGUUUAAAGGGAGCGUAGGUGGACAGUUAAGUCAGUUGUGAAAGUUUGCGGCUCAACCGUAAAAUUGCAGUUGAUACUGGCUGUCUUGAGUACAGUAGAGGUGGGCGGAAUUCGUGGUGUAGCGGUGAAAUGCUUAGAUAUCACGAAGAACUCCGAUUGCGAAGGCAGCUCACUGGACUGCAACUGACACUGAUGCUCGAAAGUGUGGGUAUCAAACAGGAUUAGAUACCCUGGUAGUCCACACAGUAAACGAUGAAUACUCGCUGUUUGCGAUAUACAGUAAGCGGCCAAGCGAAAGCAUUAAGUAUUCCACCUGGGGAGUACGCCGGCAACGGUGAAACUCAAAGGAAUUGACGGGGGCCCGCACAAGCGGAGGAACAUGUGGUUUAAUUCGAUGAUACGCGAGGAACCUUACCCGGGCUUAAAUUGCAUUUGAAUAUAUUGGAAACAGUAUAGCCGUAAGGCAAAUGUGAAGGUGCUGCAUGGUUGUCGUCAGCUCGUGCCGUGAGGUGUCGGCUUAAGUGCCAUAACGAGCGCAACCCUUAUCUUUAGUUACUAACAGGUCAUGCUGAGGACUCUAGAGAGACUGCCGUCGUAAGAUGUGAGGAAGGUGGGGAUGACGUCAAAUCAGCACGGCCCUUACGUCCGGGGCUACACACGUGUUACAAUGGGGGGUACAGAAGGCAGCUACCUGGUGACAGGAUGCUAAUCCCAAAAGCCUCUCUCAGUUCGGAUCGAAGUCUGCAACCCGACUUCGUGAAGCUGGAUUCGCUAGUAAUCGCGCAUCAGCCAUGGCGCGGUGAAUACGUUCCCGGGCCUUGUACACACCGCCCGUCAAGCCAUGAAAGCCGGGGGUACCUGAAGUACGUAACCGCAAGGAGCGUCCUAGGGUAAAACUGGUAAUUGGGGCUAAGUCGUAACAAG
This 1460-nucleotide ribosomal RNA is filed under the name uncultured bacterium. RNAcentral's name for it is "bacterial SSU rRNA". It matches the Rfam family "Bacterial small subunit ribosomal RNA". The record is from RNAcentral.